RRNACCGGUUGAUUCUGCCAGAGGCUACUGCUAUUGGGGUUCGAUUAAGCCAUGCAAGUCGAACGAACUCCUUCGGGGGUUCGUGGCGAACGGCUCAGUAACACGUGGAUAACCUACCCUUAGGACCGGUAUAACCCUGGGAAACUGGGGAUAAUCCCGGAUAGAUGAUUCUUUCUGUAAUGAUGUUUCAUUUAAAUGCUCCGGCGCCUAAGGAUGGGUCUGCGGCCGAUUAGGUUGUUGGUAGGGUAAUGGCUUACCAAGCCGGUGAUCGGUACGGGUUGUGAGAGCAAGAGCCCGGAGAUGGAACCUGAGACAAGGUUCCAGGCCCUACGGGGCGCAGCAGGCUCGAAACCUCCGCAAUGCGAGCAAUCGCGACGGGGGGACCCCAAGUGCCGCUCUUAACGGGGUGGCUUUUCUUAAGUGUAAAAAGCUUUUGGAAUAAGGGCUGGGCAAGACCGGUGCCAGCCGCCGCGGUAACACCGGCAGCUCUAGUGGUAGCCAUUUUUAUUGGGCCUAAAGCGUUCGUAGCCGGUUUGAUAAGUCUCUGGUGAAAUCCUAUAGCUUAACUGUGGGACUUGCUGGAGAUACUAUUAGACUUGAGGUCGGGAGAGGUUAGCGGUACUCCCAGGGUAGGGGUGAAAUCCUGUAAUCCUGGGAGGACCACCUGUGGCGAAGGCGGCUAACUGGAACGAACCUGACGG
Molecule: ribosomal RNA, 701 nt
Filed under: uncultured Methanobacterium sp.
Lineage: Archaea; Methanobacteriati; Methanobacteriota; Methanobacteria; Methanobacteriales; Methanobacteriaceae
Description: bacterial SSU rRNA
Rfam family: Archaeal small subunit ribosomal RNA
Source: RNAcentral